GUGGGGAAUAUUGCACAAUGGGGGGAACCCUGAUGCAGCGACGCCGCGUGAGGGAAGAAGGUUUUCGGAUUGUAAACCUCUGUCCUCUGUGACGAUAAUGACGGUAGCAGAGGAGGAAGCCACGGCUAACUACGUGCCAGCAGCCGCGGUAAUACGUAGGUGGCGAGCGUUAUCCGGAAUUACUGGGUGUAAAGGGAGCGUAGGCGGGGGAACAAGUUGAAUGUUUAAGAUAUGGGCUCAACUCAUAUAAGCGUUCAAAACUGUUUUUCUUGAGUGAAGUAGAGGUAAGCGGAAUUCCUAGUGUAGCGGUGGAAUGCGUAAAUAUUAGGAGGAACACCAGUGGCGAAGGCGGCUUACUGGGCUUUAACUGACGCUGAGGCUCGAAAGCGUGGGUAGCAAACAGG
This 404-nucleotide ribosomal RNA is filed under the name uncultured bacterium. RNAcentral describes it as "bacterial SSU rRNA". It matches the Rfam family "Bacterial small subunit ribosomal RNA", at positions 354 to 776 of the family's 1533-position model. The record is from RNAcentral.